Long non-coding RNA from Drosophila mojavensis, 348 nucleotides. RefSeq lists it as uncharacterized. The record is from RefSeq and is a predicted model, not a curated record. The transcript is spliced from 3 exons. Lineage: Eukaryota; Metazoa; Arthropoda; Insecta; Diptera; Drosophilidae.
GAUCGCGACACGAACAUCGGGAGCUGAGACCCUAAAAUGCAAUUGAUGCAAAUUCAUGACCUCAAAAUAUUCUGCAGUACGCCUUAUUGUUGUCGUUUUCAUCUCGAGCUAUCCGCGACUUGAAAUCUGGCUGCUCUAGCCAGUAAUUCCGAAAUUUUUGCACUGUGCUUAACCAAAUGAUUCUGUUGCAUCCACAACCGAUCAACUGGAAAAACGGCCAACCAACUGGAAGGAUAUGACCUCGAUCCAGAAAAAGGACAAAUUGUCAUCACUGAUGCAAGUACAUGCAUAUAUUUAUAUAUGUACAAGCAUAUCAUAUUUUGGAAUCGAUUAAUCGCAAUUUAAAAG